Molecule: ribosomal RNA, 440 nt
Filed under: uncultured bacterium
Lineage: Bacteria
Description: partial 16S ribosomal RNA
Rfam family: Bacterial small subunit ribosomal RNA
Source: RNAcentral
CCUACGGGAGGCAGCAGUGGGGGAUAUUGCACAAUGGGGGGAACCCUGAUGCAGCGACGCCGCGUGAGCGAAGAAGUACCUCGGUAUGUAAAGCUCUAUCAGCCGGGAAGAAAAUGACGGUACCUGACUACGAAGCCCCGUCUAAAUACGUGCCAGCAGCCGCGGUAAGACGGAAGGUCCGGGCGUUAUCCGGAUUUAUUGGGUUUAAAGGGAGCGUAGGCCGGGUUUUAAGUCAGCUGUGAAAGUCCGCGGCUCAACCGUGGAAUUGCAGUUGAAACUGGAGGCCUUGAGUGCACACAGGGAUGCCGGAAUUCAUGGUGUAGCGGUGAAAUGCUUAGAUAUCAUGAAGAACUCCGAUCGCGAAGGCAAGUGUCCGGGGUGAAACUGACGCUGAGGCUCGAAAGUGCGGGUAUCAAACAGGAUUAGAUACCCCUGUAGUC